UGGGGAAUAUUGGACAAUGGGGGCAACCCUGAUCCAGCAAUGCCGCGUGUGUGAAGAAGGUCUUCGGAUUGUAAAGCACUUUCGACGGGGACGAUGAUGACGGUACCCGUAGAAGAAGCCCCGGCUAACUUCGUGCCAGCAGCCGCGGUAAUACGAAGGGGGCUAGCGUUGCUCGGAAUGACUGGGCGUAAAGGGCGUGUAGGCGGUUUACACAGUCAGAUGUGAAAUCCCCGGGCUUAACCUGGGAGCUGCAUUUGAUACGUGUAGACUAGAGUGUGAGAGAGGGUUGUGGAAUUCCCAGUGUAGAGGUGAAAUUCGUAGAUAUUGGGAAGAACACCGGUGGCGAAGGCGGCAACCUGGCUCAUGACUGACGCUGAGGCGCGAAAGCGUGGGGAGCAAACAGGUUAGAUACCCUGGUAGUCCACGCCUGUAAACGAUGUGUGCUAGAUGUUGGGUAACUUUGUUA
RNAcentral lists this ribosomal RNA (466 nucleotides) under uncultured bacterium. RNAcentral's name for it is "partial 16S ribosomal RNA". It matches the Rfam family "Bacterial small subunit ribosomal RNA", at positions 355 to 838 of the family's 1533-position model. The record is from RNAcentral.